UACGUAGGGGGCGAGCGUUGUCCGGAAUGAUUGGGCGUAAAGGGCGCGUAGGCGGCCUGAUAAGUCUGGAGUGAAAGUCCUGCCUUCAAGGUGGGAAUUGCUUUGGAAACUGACAGGCUUGAGUGCAGGAGAGGUUAUCGGAAUUCCCGGUGUAGCGGUGAAAUGCGUAGAGAUCGGGAGGAACACCAGUGGCGAAGGCGGGUAACUGGACUGCAACUGACGCUGAGGCGCGAAAGUGUGGGGAGCAAACAGGAUUAGAUACCCUGGUAGUCCACACGGUAAACGAUGAAUGCUAGGUGUAGGGGGUAUCGACCCCUUCUGUGCCGGAGUAAACACAAUAAGCAUUCCGCCUGGGGAGUACGGCCGCAAGGUUGAA
This 376-nucleotide ribosomal RNA is filed under the name uncultured bacterium. RNAcentral describes it as "bacterial SSU rRNA". It matches the Rfam family "Bacterial small subunit ribosomal RNA", at positions 524 to 898 of the family's 1533-position model. The record is from RNAcentral.